Molecule: ribosomal RNA, 325 nt
Filed under: uncultured eukaryote
Lineage: Eukaryota
Description: partial 18S ribosomal RNA
Rfam family: Eukaryotic small subunit ribosomal RNA
Source: RNAcentral
CCCUUAGAUGUCCUGGGCCGCACGCGCGUUACACUGAUGCAUUCAACGAGCUUAUAACCUUGGCCGAGAGGCCUGGGCAAUCUUGUUAACGUGCAUCGUGAUAGGGAUAGAUUAUUGAAAUUAUUAAUCUUGAACGAGGAAUUCCUAGUAAACGCAGAUCAUCAAUCUGCAUUGAUUACGUCCCUGCCCUUUGUACACACCGCCCGUCGCACCUACCGAUUGGAUGGUCCGGUGAAUUAUUUGGAGUAGCUCUGGAAGUUGCAGAACUUCCUAUGUCACGAAAUUUUGUAAACCUUAUCGUUUAGAGGAAGGAAAAGUCGUAACA